GCAGCAACAUCUAGUGCAAAGCCUUCCCAGAAGAGUAGAGGUUGUUAUAACAGCAAAGGGGGGACCAACUCCAUAUUAAUGCCCAUGAUUUUGGAAUGAGAUGCUCAAUGAGCAGGUGUCUACAUACUCAUGUAUGUACAUGCAAGCUUAAAACAAAAUGCACAGAACAGACUCCUCCACUUGAAUCCAGGCUGAAAAAAAGAAAAAAAAAGGCUGAAGUGAUAUAUUGCUUAAUGUCCUCCUGACAUGCUUCCUCUGCCCCUGUUUCAGGUUCUGAUGGAUGAUCCUCAAAGAGCUCUGUCCAGAACUCAACGUGGGGACGGACCAGAUCUGAUAGCAGGUGUCUACAUACUCAUGUUCUGAUGGAUGAUCCUCAAAGAGCUCUGUCCAGAACUCAAAGUGGGGACGGACCAGAUCUGAUAGUGUGAGGCUUAUACUGUAUGUACACAACACAGGAUAGUGUAUGGCUAAUGUGGAGCAGAACCCUAAUUUUAAGGCUGCUCAUCCCAAAUUGCACUUUUGACCAGAGCCCCUCUUCUCCCAUAGGCCAUAAAGUAGUGCACUAUAAGGAAAAGGGUGUCAUUUGGGACUAACUCUGACCCAGUGAAGGACAUGGUGGUGCUCCUGGAGAUCUAUGUGGGCUUAAGUUAUAUAUUUUAUUUUCAAAAGAGAGACACUCAAAAGAUUAUGUAUUGUGAAGGAUUAUAUAUUUUGUUUUGUAAAUCUUCAUUUUUAUUCAACAGAUAGAUCAUGAAAUUAAACAUGACAUCAACACAAAUGUACUAUGAUGUUCCAGCAGAGUAUAAUUCAAAAUGUGAUUUAACUGAAUCCAAAUGGAUUAUGUAUUUUCUGUUGUUGUUCUGAGGUACCUUUUUAUCUGAAUACAGUUGAUUAUUUAGAGCUCAAACUAGGGAGACAAGCUUUGGUUCGUGUUACUGCGUUACAUAUUUUUGUUCAGUUACACUGCCAAGAUCCAUUGCAGAAAGCCAGGCUGUUUGAUUGAUGUCUUUGUUUGUUGUGGAUCCAGGUAGGAUUUCCAAAAUGUGAAUAGUUGUGAAAUGAUGAGUUUUGUGCCCAUAUGAAGAAAGAAAAACUGCAUACCAACCUCGGACACAUUCCUGACCAAUAUGUUACAUGUAUAUGUUCUUUGUACAAUGGCUUCAUUGUGUAAUAUGUCAUGUAAAGUAAUUGUGACAAUUUUAUUUGUGAUUUAUUGAUAAUUAUUUUUUGAUAAAAAUGAAUUCUAAGAGUGUUUAUAAGCAAUAAAUUGCUAAAGAAAAAUGUU
Oncorhynchus gorbuscha (pink salmon) is the source of this 1285-nucleotide long non-coding RNA. RefSeq lists it as uncharacterized. The record is from RefSeq and is a predicted model, not a curated record. NCBI's taxonomy places the organism in Eukaryota, Metazoa, Chordata, Actinopteri, Salmoniformes, Salmonidae. The transcript is spliced from 2 exons.